RNAcentral lists this ribosomal RNA (477 nucleotides) under uncultured bacterium. RNAcentral describes it as "partial 16S ribosomal RNA". It matches the Rfam family "Bacterial small subunit ribosomal RNA", at positions 28 to 507 of the family's 1533-position model. The record is from RNAcentral.
GAUUAACGCUGGCGGCGUGCAUAACACAUGCAAGUCGAACGAUGAAACUUAACUGAUUUCUUCGGAAUGAUUUUAAGUGGCUUAGUGGCGGACGGGUGAGUAACGCGUGAGUAACCUGCCUUGGAGAAGGGGAUAGCCUUUGGAAACGAAGAAUAAUACCCUAUGAUAUGAUAAUAUCUCAUGAUAUUAUCAUCAAAGAUUUAUCGCUCUAAGAUGGACUUGCGUCUGAUUAGUUAGUUGGUGAGGUAACAGCUCACCAAGGCAGCGAUCAGUAGCCGGCUUGAGAGAGUGUACGGCCACAUUGGGACUGAGACACGGCCCAGACUCCUACGGGAGGCAGCAGUGGGGAAUUUUGCACAAUGGGGGAAACCCUGAUGCAGCGACGCCGCGUGAUUUAGAAGGCCUUCGGGUUGUAAAAAUCUUUUGUAUGGGAAGAAAAUGACAGUACCAUACGAAUAAGGACCGGCUAAUUACGUG